UGGGGAAUCUUCCGCAAUGGACGAAAGUCUGACGGAGCAACGCCGCGUGUAUGAUGAAGGUCUUCGGAUUGUAAAGUACUGUCAUUGGGGAAGAACGGUUUUCUUGAAAAGAUUGAGAAGACAUGACGGUACCCAAGGAGGAAGCCCCGGCUAACUACGUGCCAGCAGCCGCGGUAAUACGUAGGGGGCAAGCGUUGUCCGGAAUUAUUGGGCGUAAAGGGCGCGUAGGCGGGCCUUUAAGUCCGGUGUGAAAGAUCAGGGCUCAACCCUGAGAGUGCAUCGGAAACUGGAGGCCUUGAGGACAGGAGAGGAAAGUGGAAUUCCACGUGUAGCGGUGAAAUGCGUAGAUAUGUGGAGGAACACCAGUGGCGAAGGCGACUUUCUGGACUGUAACUGACGCUGAGGCGCGAAAGCGUGGGG
Molecule: ribosomal RNA, 420 nt
Filed under: uncultured bacterium
Lineage: Bacteria
Description: partial 16S ribosomal RNA
Rfam family: Bacterial small subunit ribosomal RNA
Source: RNAcentral